Molecule: ribosomal RNA, 494 nt
Filed under: uncultured bacterium
Lineage: Bacteria
Description: partial 16S ribosomal RNA
Rfam family: Bacterial small subunit ribosomal RNA
Source: RNAcentral
GACGAACGCUGGCGGCGUGCUUAACACAUGCAAGUCGAACGGUGAAGCGCCUUCCUUUUUGGUGGGUGUGGAUGAGUGGCGAACGGGUGAGUAACACGUGAGUAACCUGCCCCCUUCUUCUGGAUAACCGCAUGAAAGUGUGGCUAAUACGGGAUAUUCUGGGUCUGUCGCAUGAUGGGUCUGGGAAAGAUAUUGUUUCGGUGGGGGAUGGGCUCGCGGCCUAUCAGCUUGUUGGUGGGGUGAUGGCCUACCAAGGCGGUGACGGGUAGCCGGCCUGAGAGGGUGGACGGUCACACUGGGACUGAGACACGGCACAGACUCCUACGGGAGGCAGCAGUGGGGAAUAUUGCACAAUGGGCGCAAGCCUGAUGCAGCGACGCCGCGUGAGGGAUGGAGGCCUGCGGGUUGUGAACCUCUUUCGCCAGUGAAGCAGGCCUGCCUCGUUUGUGGGUGGGUUGACGGUAGCUGGACAAGAAGCGCCGGCUAACUACGUG